Molecule: ribosomal RNA, 875 nt
Filed under: Limosilactobacillus reuteri
Lineage: Bacteria; Bacillati; Bacillota; Bacilli; Lactobacillales; Lactobacillaceae
Description: bacterial SSU rRNA
Rfam family: Bacterial small subunit ribosomal RNA
Source: RNAcentral
UAACAAAGUUAGUAGAGUGCGUCUUCAUGCACUCACGUACGCACUAGGCCCAACUGAGUUGAUGGUGCUUGCACCUGAUUGACGAUGGAUCACCAGUGAGUGGCGGACGGGUGAGUAACACGUAGGUAACCUGCCCCGGAGCGGGGGAUAACAUUUGGAAACAGAUGCUAAUACCGCAUAACAACAAAAGCCACAUGGCUUUUGCUUGAAAGAUGGCUUUGGCUAUCACUCUGGGAUGGACCUGCGGUGCAUUAGCUAGUUGGUAAGGUAACGGCUUACCAAGGCGAUGAUGCAUAGCCGAGUUGAGAGACUGAUCGGCCACAAUGGAACUGAGACACGGUCCAUACUCCUACGGGAGGCAGCAGUAGGGAAUCUUCCACAAUGGGCGCAAGCCUGAUGGAGCAACACCGCGUGAGUGAAGAAGGGUUUCGGCUCGUAAAGCUCUGUUGUUGGAGAAGAACGUGCGUGAGAGUAACUGUUCACGCAGUGACGGUAUCCAACCAGAAAGUCACGGCUAACUACGUGCCAGCAGCCGCGGUAAUACGUAGGUGGCAAGCGUUAUCCGGAUUUAUUGGGCGUAAAGCGAGCGCAGGCGGUUGCUUAGGUCUGAUGUGAAAGCCUUCGGCUUAACCGAAGAAGUGCAUCGGAAACCGGGCGACUUGAGUGCAGAAGAGGACAGUGGAACUCCAUGUGUAGCGGUGGAAUGCGUAGAUAUAUGGAAGAACACCAGUGGCGAAGGCGGCUGUCUGGUCUGCAACUGACGCUGAGGCUCGAAAGCAUGGGUAGCGAACAGGAUUAGAUACCCUGGUAGUCCAUGCCGUAAACGAUGAGUGCUAGGUGUUGGAGGGUUUCCGCCCUUCAGUGCCGGAGCUAAC